UACGAAGGGGGCUAGCGUUGCUCAGAAUCACUGGGCGUAAAGCGCACGUAGGCGGCUUUCUAAGUCAGGGGUGAAAUCCUGGAGCUCAACUCCAGAACUGCCUUUGAUACUGGGAAGCUCGAGUCCGGGAGAGGUGAGUGGAACUCCGAGUGUAGAGGUGAAAUUCGUAGAUAUUCGGAAGAACACCAGUGGCGAAGGCGGCUCACUGGCCCGGUACUGACGCUGAGGUGCGAAAGCGUGGGGAGCAAACAGG
This 253-nucleotide ribosomal RNA is filed under the name uncultured bacterium. Its description in RNAcentral is "partial 16S ribosomal RNA". It matches the Rfam family "Bacterial small subunit ribosomal RNA", at positions 524 to 776 of the family's 1533-position model. The record is from RNAcentral.